GAUGAAUGCUGGCGGCGUGCUUAACACAUGCAAGUCGAACGGAAAGGCCCAAGCUUGCUUGGGUACUCGAGUGGCGAACGGGUGAGUAACACGUGGGUGAUCUGCCCUGCACUUCGGGAUAAGCCUGGGAAACUGGGUCUAAUACCGGAUAGGACCACUUCUUGGAUGUUGUGGUGGAAAGUUUUUUCGGUGUGGGAUGAGCUCGCGGCCUAUCAGCUUGUUGGUGGGGUAAUGGCCUACCAAGGCGUCGACGGGUAGCCGGCCUGAGAGGGUGUACGGCCACAUUGGGACUGAGAUACGGCCCAGACUCCUACGGGAGGCAGCAGUGGGGAAUAUUGCACAAUGGGCGCAAGCCUGAUGCAGCGACGCCGCGUGGGGGAUGACGGCCUUCGGGUUGUAAACUCCUUUCGCUAGGGACGAAGCGUUUUGUGACGGUACCUGGAGAAGAAGCACCGGCUAACUACGUG
RNAcentral lists this ribosomal RNA (467 nucleotides) under uncultured bacterium. RNAcentral's name for it is "partial 16S ribosomal RNA". It matches the Rfam family "Bacterial small subunit ribosomal RNA", at positions 28 to 507 of the family's 1533-position model. The record is from RNAcentral.